Molecule: long non-coding RNA, 1433 nt
Filed under: Panax ginseng (ginseng)
Lineage: Eukaryota; Viridiplantae; Streptophyta; Magnoliopsida; Apiales; Araliaceae
Description: long non-coding RNA (PGIN_LNC018994)
Source: RNAcentral
UUUUUUUUAUAAAAUUAAUGCUUAAAAUCAUCAACAGUCUAUUAUCAUAUUUUCAUCAUUAUCAACAAAAUUAUUAAGAUCUUGGUGUAUUGUAUAAAAUGGGCAAAGAUGCAAAAAUAUCACUCAUAUUUACUUCGAAAUCUCACUUCCAUCUUGAAUUCUUUUUUUUUUUUCAAAAAUACACCUACCAUUAUAAAUCAUAGCUCCAAUAUGUUCUUCGUGUUAAAUAAAUGUCGUUUAUUUUUUAUAUGGUUGACACUUGGCCAGAUUUGCUGACGCGUGACAUCUAAUGUGUAUAAUGUGUAUAAAAAUAAUAUUUAAUGUGUAUUUUAUAAUUUAUUUAUUAUGUAUAUUUUAUUAAUUAAUUCUAUUUAUUAAUAAUUUUAUUAAGUAAAAAUGAUUAUGUGAAAUAACCCAUUUUUUUAAGUAAUUAUAUUUUAUGUAAGUAAUUAUUUCUCUUCAAGCUUAUUUUUAUAAGUAAUUAUCAUAUUAAUAUGUAGUGAAAUAAGUUUUUUUUUUUGUACUCUUCUCUAAUUAUUUAUUCUGCUAAUUUUAGAUUUCAAUAUUGUGAACCACCAUCACCACUAGGGACAUCAACACCAUUAACAAAAUACACCAACAUGAUCCACCAACAAAAUUCAGAUCCCGCUAUCCACCACCAACAAAUCUACCACCAUGCACCGUCGCCUCUCAAAAUCACGCCAUCAACAAAAUUACUACCAUCACGACGAGAUCCACCCCGAUCUACUAGCCCAAAUCAAAAAAAAUAAAAGAAAAGAUGGAAGGAAGUCACCCACCGAAAAAUUUCAUCAUCACCCACAAUAAGAUAAACCAGAACACAAUAACAACAAUUUUAACAAGGAAAGGAAAUAAAAUAAAGCAAAAGAAAAUAUAGUAGAUCUGCAUAGUUGUAGAUCUGAUAAAAAAAGAAAACAGAUCUACAUAGUUGUAGAUCUGAAAAAAUUAAUACACGACAUUGACGACGUGAAAGGGGCUGAAGCGGUGGCGCCAUCUAAACUACAAACUGUUAUUAUUGUUACAAGGGCUGGUGGCGUGACUGACUGAUAUGCAGCCGGCGGAGGGACGAUUGAGAGAGGUUUGAUGGAAGUUGGGGUGGAUAUUACGUUUGCCGCCACUUUUAUUGUGGAAAGUUGUAUGUGGUGGUUGGUGGAGGAGAAAUAAAAUUUUAGCGAAGUGGGGAAAGAGGGAGGUUCGAUUUGUUUAUGAAAUUAGAGUGGAAGCUGCCAAGCUGGUGUUGAGAACAUUGAUGAUGAUAAUGAUGAUGACGAAGCCAUGUUUUAACUGAUGAUUUCAGCUCCUUCAGUUUUAUGCAUCUCUACUAUAUUUAUAAAUUAAAUAUAAAUAUUUUUUUUGUUUAAUAAUUAUUUAUUUUGUUUUAUAAAAAAAUAAAAUAAAUAAUUAAUAAAUAUUCG